GAUGAAGAACGUAGCGAAAUGCGAUACGUAAUGUGAAAUGCAGAAUUCAGUGAAUCAUCGAAUCUUUGAACGCACAUUGCGCCCCUUGGUAUUCCGAGGGGCAUGCCUGUUCGAGCGUCAUUACACCACUCAAGCUAUGCUUGGUAUUGGGCGUCGUCCUUAGUUGGGCGCGCCUUAAAGACCUCGGCGAGGCCACUCCGGCUUUAGGCGUAGUAGAAUUUAUUCGAACGUCUGUCAAAGGAGAGGAACUCUGCCGACUGAAACCUUUAUUUUUCUAGGUUGACCUCGGAUCAGGUAGGGAUACCCGCUGAACUUAAGCAUAUCAAUAAGCGGAGGA
This 337-nucleotide unclassified non-coding RNA is filed under the name soil metagenome. RNAcentral describes it as "partial contains 5.8S ribosomal RNA, internal transcribed spacer 2, and large subunit ribosomal RNA". The stretch from base 1 to 120 matches the Rfam family "5.8S ribosomal RNA", at positions 35 to 154 of the family's 154-position model. The record is from RNAcentral.